RNAcentral lists this ribosomal RNA (456 nucleotides) under Sarcocystis sp. RNAcentral describes it as "SSU rRNA". It matches the Rfam family "Eukaryotic small subunit ribosomal RNA", at positions 517 to 947 of the family's 1831-position model. Lineage: Eukaryota; Apicomplexa; Conoidasida; Eucoccidiorida; Sarcocystidae. The record is from RNAcentral.
AUGGGAAUUUAAACCCCUUUCAGAGUAACAAUUGGAGGGCAAGUCUGGUGCCAGCAGCCGCGGUAAUUCCAGCUCCAAUAGCGUAUAUUAAAGUUGUUGCAGUUAAAAAGCUCGUAGUUGGAUGUCUGCUGGAAGCAAUCAGUCCGCCCUAUUUGUAGGGUGUGCACUUGAUGAAUUCUGGCAUUUUUGUCCCAAUGAUGUAACGGGGCGGUGGUAUUCGGUGAAAGCCGAGUAUCCUGUUUUCCGAUUAUUGGGAUACUGUUACUUUGAGAAAAUUAGAGUGUUUGAAGCAGGCUAAUUGCCUUGAAUACUGCAGCAUGGAAUAACAAUAUAGGAUUUCGGUUCUAUUUUGUUGGUUUCUAGGACUGAAAUAAUGAUUAAUAGGGACAGUUGGGGGCAUUCGUAUUUAACUGUCAGAGGUGAAAUUCUUAGAUUUGUUAAAGACGAACUACUGCG